RNAcentral lists this long non-coding RNA (547 nucleotides) under Pelobates cultripes (western spadefoot toad). The record is from RNAcentral. Lineage: Eukaryota; Metazoa; Chordata; Amphibia; Anura; Pelobatidae.
CUUAUACCUUUCCUUUCUACUGGAUACAGACUUACUGAACCAAAGGGGGUCAUAGACAAUUAGCGUCAAUAAGACACAAAAAGGCUACUCACCCAAUGGUUUUGCUGAUCCCACUUCUGACACCAAGCUGAAAGGAUAAAUGCUGUUCUGGUCUCAACUCCCCUCGAUUCUCGAUCCCCCGUCACCACAUCAAUUGAUGGGAGAUCUUGUUUGGCAAAUAAGACACAGACACGAAAGAGUGCUCAACAAGUUCUCAAUGAGUAUAUUUUCAGGGCUAGCAUUUAUACACAGUUUGUCAUGCAAACAGUGAGAUCUAUAGUGUCCUUGUAGUUAAUAGUACAUACUUGUCGGACAUGAAAAAGAUAAGCAUUUGGAUAAAGACGAGACAGGAACAUCCUAAGGUCAAGGAAGGUCAUACAUCCUGUAGACGAAAGACCUUGGUACAAAAUACAUCUGCCAAAGUCAGCAUAAUUAUUUCAAACAUUAUUUUAAAGCAAGAAAGAGUUUAACUAUUUCAUAUCCUUACAGUCAGUACUAAUGAUUAUAA